UUACGGCAAUAUCACGUUUAAAUAUCGGUUCUCGUACGAUCAUCCAUUUUAAGCAACAUCGAGCCUGGUUAGUACCUAUAUGGGUGACCGCUUGAGAAUACUAGGUGCUGUAA
Non-coding RNA from Acanthosepion pharaonis, 113 nucleotides. NCBI's taxonomy places the organism in Eukaryota, Metazoa, Mollusca, Cephalopoda, Sepiida, Sepiidae. The record is from the annotation of a GenBank genome assembly.